AAAUUGAAGAGUUUGAUCAUGGCUCAGAUUGAACGCUGGCGGCAGGCCUAACACAUGCAAGUCGAGCGGUAGCACAGAGAGCUUGCUCUCGGGUGACGAGCGGCGGACGGGUGAGUAAUGUCUGGGAAACUGCCUGAUGGAGGGGGAUAACUACUGGAAACGGUAGCUAAUACCGCAUAACGUCGCAAGACCAAAGUGGGGGACCUUCGGGCCUCAUGCCAUCAGAUGUGCCCAGAUGGGAUUAGCUGGUAGGUGGGGUAACGGCUCACCUAGGCGACGAUCCCUAGCUGGUCUGAGAGGAUGACCAGCCACACUGGAACUGAGACACGGUCCAGACUCCUACGGGAGGCAGCAGUGGGGAAUAUUGCACAAUGGGCGCAAGCCUGAUGCAGCCAUGCCGCGUGUGUGAAGAAGGCCUUCGGGUUGUAAAGCACUUUCAGCGGGGAGGAAGGCGGUGAGGUUAAUAACCUCAUCGAUUGACGUUACCCGCAGAAGAAGCACCGGCUAACUCCGUGCCAGCAGCCGCGGUAAUACGGAGGGUGCAAGCGUUAAUCGGAAUUACUGGGCGUAAAGCGCACGCAGGCGGUCUGUCAAGUCGGAUGUGAAAUCCCCGGGCUCAACCUGGGAACUGCAUUCGAAACUGGCAGGCUAGAGUCUUGUAGAGGGGGGUAGAAUUCCAGGUGUAGCGGUGAAAUGCGUAGAGAUCUGGAGGAAUACCGGUGGCGAAGGCGGCCCCCUGGACAAAGACUGACGCUCAGGUGCGAAAGCGUGGGGAGCAAACAGGAUUAGAUACCCUGGUAGUCCACGCUGUAAACGAUGUCGAUUUGGAGGUUGUGCCCUUGAGGCGUGGCUUCCGGAGCUAACGCGUUAAAUCGACCGCCUGGGGAGUACGGCCGCAAGGUUAAAACUCAAAUGAAUUGACGGGGGCCCGCACAAGCGGUGGAGCAUGUGGUUUAAUUCGAUGCAACGCGAAGAACCUUACCUGGUCUUGACAUCCACAGAACUUUCCAGAGAUGGAUUGGUGCCUUCGGGAACUGUGAGACAGGUGCUGCAUGGCUGUCGUCAGCUCGUGUUGUGAAAUGUUGGGUUAAGUCCCGCAACGAGCGCAACCCUUAUCCUUUGUUGCCAGCGGUUAGGCCGGGAACUCAAAGGAGACUGCCAGUGAUAAACUGGAGGAAGGUGGGGAUGACGUCAAGUCAUCAUGGCCCUUACGACCAGGGCUACACACGUGCUACAAUGGCAUAUACAAAGAGAAGCGACCUCGCGAGAGCAAGCGGACCUCAUAAAGUAUGUCGUAGUCCGGAUUGGAGUCUGCAACUCGACUCCAUGAAGUCGGAAUCGCUAGUAAUCGUAGAUCAGAAUGCUACGGUGAAUACGUUCCCGGGCCUUGUACACACCGCCCGUCACACCAUGGGAGUGGGUUGCAAAAGAAGUAGGUAGCUUAACCUUCGGGAGGGCGCUUACCACUUUGUGAUUCAUGACUGGGGUGAAGUCGUAACAAGGUAACCGUAGGGGAACCUGCGGUUGGAUCACCUCCUUACCUUAAAGAA
RNAcentral lists this ribosomal RNA (1550 nucleotides) under Klebsiella variicola. Its description in RNAcentral is "bacterial SSU rRNA". It matches the Rfam family "Bacterial small subunit ribosomal RNA". Lineage: Bacteria; Pseudomonadati; Pseudomonadota; Gammaproteobacteria; Enterobacterales; Enterobacteriaceae. The record is from RNAcentral. RNAcentral also lists the same sequence under 1 other name.